UACGAAGGGGGCGAGCGUUGUUCGGAUUUACUGGGCGUAAAGGGCGCGCAGGCGGCUCAUUUUGUCAGGCGUGAAAGCCCCGGGCUUAACCUGGGAACUGCGUUUGAGACGGAUGGGCUAGAGUUCGGGAGAGGAGAGUGGAACUGCGAGUGUAGAGGUGAAAUUCGUAGAUAUUCGCAAGAACACCAGUGGCGAAGGCGGCUCACUGGCCCGAUACUGACGCUGAGGCACGAAAGCGUGGGGAGCAAACAGG
This 253-nucleotide ribosomal RNA is filed under the name uncultured bacterium. RNAcentral describes it as "partial 16S ribosomal RNA". It matches the Rfam family "Bacterial small subunit ribosomal RNA", at positions 524 to 776 of the family's 1533-position model. The record is from RNAcentral.